UCUCUCUCUCUCUCUCUCUCUCUCUCUCUCUCUUUUAAUAUUAACAGGAGACCACCAUGGACAGCAUCAGCUAUCCAUGUUAUUUACCUCAGUUUAGCCAGUUAUUUACCUCAGGACAGAAUGGAAGUGGGAGAUAAAGACAGAGGUGUAGGGAGGAGAGGGAGAGGAGCACCUCCGUGACCUCUUCACCCAGUUACAUCAAGUUCCAGAACCUUCCAGGACAGUGCCAGCAGCUGCAUGCCAAGUGUUUAAUACAUAAGCCUUUUGGGAACAUACUUCGUAUCUAAAUCACAGUGAGCUAUGUGCUGGCAUACAGUGCUCAUACCCUCAUCUGAGCCUACUCCCCCGUAACCCUGCGAAUCUAAGGUCUUCCUGUUAGGCCAGUGAGGCAGCUCAGUAAUUAAUGGUGCCUGAUGCCAAGGCUGACACCUUGAGUUUGAUCCCCAGAGUACACAUGAUGGAGGGAGAGACCUGACUUUCAAGGUGGUUCUCUAACUUCUGCAUGCACAUCCCCUCCUGUCCUGCCCGACAAGUAAAUAAAGUGUGACGUAACUCAUUAGUAAGAAAAUCAAGUCCCACUCCUCAAAAUCUUUUUUUUUCUAGAGAUUUUAUUUAUUUAUUUAUUUACUUUUAAAGAUUUAUUUAAUAUAUAUGAAUACACUGUAGCUGUCUUCAGACACCCCAGAAGAGGGUAUCCGAUUUCAUUACAGAUGGUUGUGAGUCACCAUGUGGUUGCUGGGAAUUGAACUUAGGACCUCUGGAAGAGCAGUCAGUGCUCUUAGCUGCUAGGCCAUCUCUCCAAUUCUUUGAAAGUGGAUUCCCCCCCAUGAGUGGUUAGCACCAUUUUUCUGUAUGCAGAAUCGUGGCACGGGGACUUAAGCUGCUUCUAAACUACAAGUCGUCUUAGCUUGGCCGUUAUCCCAAUCGGUACGGCCACACCCAGGGAUUCCAUCUGUCACCAAGCUCCUGAGUAUCUUGGUGUACUUGAUGCUUGUUGGAAUUGGGUUUUCUCUGGUCAGCUGAAUCAUUGGCCACCCAUCUACUAACUUCACAAUUUGCAAAUCUAGGUUACUGUUUUCAUCAUCAUUUUAAUUUUUCUUUAUGAAUCUAUACCAUUACACAAAAUGUAUUAUUUUCAUCUUGUGGGGGAAUUCAGGAGAGGAUGGAAUUAAAAUGUGUGUCCAGCUAAUACUGAUUUACUUGGACAUCUACAUUUUAUUGACAGAAAAAACAUGCUGUCAAAUUGUUUUAUUAAGGCAGUUCCCUCCAUCCUGGACUGACUGACUUAGAAAACCUCCAUCAAUAAAAGACAUUGUCUUUGUCAUAAUGCUUGCAGUUUGAACAGACAGCAUUGAAUAAUUAUGGAAAUAAACUUUGAUGGGCUCUGAGAAGGAAAAAAAGUCUGAUGGGAAACAUGAAUAUUUACAGUAUAGAUUCUACUAGAAUCUUCCAAAGGGCCAUCCUCACUAUUGGAGAAACUUUUUAGUGUAACGACCACAGCACUCAGGAUACCAGCUGUGAACAGUGGUGCCAUUAACCACCAAGAGGGAGCACAGUCUAGUGACAAAAAGAUAGAAAUAAAGGGAGUUGGAGUCACAUUUCAGAGUUCUUUGGCAAGAUAAAGCUGUUGGCACUAAAUCAAUACACUCAUCAUGACUGUGUCAUCAACUGGACAACGUGCUAGGAGACGGUUAAUUGCUUUAUUCUUUUCUUUUUUGAAUGUGUUUGCGUGUGUGUAUGUGUGUGUGCAUGUGUGUGAAUGUGUGUAUGUGUGUGUGUGUGUGCAUUUUGUGUGUGAAUUGUGGGCCACAGAGGAGCAGUGGAGGUCAGAUGACAACCUCCGGUUGGUCCUCACCUUCUACUGUAUUUGAAACAGGACGUCUUGUUUGGUGGUACCACUGUAUAUACACAUCACACUAACUGCUCAUGACCUUCUGGAGCAUCCUACCUUGGCUUCCUGUCUCACCUCGGCUGCACUGUCGUCACAGAAUAUACACUACCGUGUCCCCAGCUUUCCAUGGCUUCAGCUCUUAAUGACACGUGUUUUUGCUCACCGAACCCUCUCCCCAGCGUUUAGCGCUUAUUCUUGUAUGAACAAACUUGUAUCUAACACCUACUGCAUGCACAGACUACAGAUGCUAGCUGUUAAGAGUUAUGCAAUGACAUCCCUCAUAGAAACCAUGCAUGUCCUUGUUUGGUUUUUCUGCCCUUAACCUCUUGAAGUUGUGGAUUUGAAACCACAGAUGAGAUGGAUGAGCUGGUGAGAUGGCUCAGCAGGCACAUGUGCUUGUCGUCAAGCCUGAGAUAGAGUCCCUAAAAUCUGUGUGGAGGAAGAAGGCGUGGAACUUCUAACAGCUGUCUUCUGACACCCACAUGUGUACUGUAGAAUGCCCUGCCCACCCCCAUAAACAAAUAAAUGUU
RNAcentral lists this long non-coding RNA (2421 nucleotides) under Mus musculus (house mouse). RNAcentral's name for it is "long non-coding RNA chr8:31251073-31253494". The record is from RNAcentral. Lineage: Eukaryota; Metazoa; Chordata; Mammalia; Rodentia; Muridae.